ACGGAGCUUAGAGAGCUUGCUUUUUAAGCUUAGUGGCGAACGGGUGAGUAACGCGUGAGUAACCUGCCCUAGAGUGGGGGACAACAGUUGGAAACGACUGCUAAUACCGCAUAAGCCCACGGUGCCGCAUGACACUGAGGGAAAAGGAUUUAUUCGCUUUAGGAUGGACUCGCGUCCAAUUAGCUAGUUGGUGAGGUAACGGCCCACCAAGGCGACGAUUGGUAGCCGGACUGAGAGGUUGAACGGCCACAUUGGGACUGAGACACGGCCCAGACUCCUACGGGAGGCAGCAGUGGGGGAUAUUGCACAAUGGGGGAAACCCUGAUGCAGCGACGCCGCGUGGAGGAAGAAGGUUUUCGGAUUGUAAACUCCUGUCGUUAGGGACGAUAAUGACGGUACCUAACAAGAAAGCACCGGCUAACUACGUGCCAGCAGCCGCGGUAAAACGUAGGGUGCAAGCGUUGUCCGGAAUUACUGGGUGUAAAGGGAGCGCAGGCGGGAAGACAAGUUGGAAGUGAAAACCAUGGGCUCAACCCAUGAAUUGCUUUCAAAACUGUUUUUCUUGAGUAGUGCAGAGGUAGAUGGAAUUCCCGGUGUAGCGGUGGAAUGCGUAGAUAUCGGGAGGAACACCAGUGG
This 636-nucleotide ribosomal RNA is filed under the name uncultured bacterium. RNAcentral's name for it is "bacterial SSU rRNA". It matches the Rfam family "Bacterial small subunit ribosomal RNA", at positions 66 to 715 of the family's 1533-position model. The record is from RNAcentral.